This 260-nucleotide unclassified non-coding RNA is filed under the name uncultured Trichoderma. RNAcentral's name for it is "sequence contains ITS2". The stretch from base 1 to 52 matches the Rfam family "5.8S ribosomal RNA", at positions 103 to 154 of the family's 154-position model. Lineage: Eukaryota; Fungi; Ascomycota; Sordariomycetes; Hypocreales; Hypocreaceae. The record is from RNAcentral.
AACGCACAUUGCGCCCGCCAGUAUUCUGGCGGGCAUGCCUGUCCGAGCGUCAUUUCAACCCUCGAACCCCUCCGGGGGUCCGGCGUUGGGGAUCGGCCCUUUACCGGCCGGCCCCGAAAUACAGUGGCGGUCUCGCCGCAGCCUCUCCUGCGCAGUAGUUUGCACACUCGCAUCGGGAGCGCGGCGCGUCCACGUCCGUAAAACACCCAACUUUCUGAAAUGUUGACCUCGGAUCAGGUAGGAAUACCCGCUGAACUUAA